This 202-nucleotide long non-coding RNA is filed under the name Elaeis guineensis (African oil palm). RNAcentral's name for it is "long non-coding RNA (EGUI_LNC006645)". Lineage: Eukaryota; Viridiplantae; Streptophyta; Magnoliopsida; Arecales; Arecaceae. The record is from RNAcentral.
UCCGUAGAGGUAAUUUUUUUUGGCUGAUUUAUGUAUUUGAUUGUUUCUGUUUUAUUUUUUCUUUCUUCCUGCUGUGACGCAUGGUAUCAAAAAGGUCCUGUGGAGGUGGUGUCCUGGUUAGACAUCCCCAAUAAGUGGUAUCAGAGCGAGGUGGUAACAGAACACAGAUUACAGUGGUGGUAAGCAAGAUUGAAGAUAGAGA